Molecule: ribosomal RNA, 266 nt
Filed under: uncultured archaeon
Lineage: Archaea
Description: partial 16S ribosomal RNA
Rfam family: Archaeal small subunit ribosomal RNA
Source: RNAcentral
ACACGACUACAUUAGAUACCCGGGUAGUCCUAGGCGUAAAUGAUGCGAGUUAAGUGGGGGGUUUCAUCUACGAGAUGGCCCUGUGCUGUAGGGUAGCCGUUAAACUCGCUGCCUGGGGAGUACGGUCGCAAGGCUGAAACUUAAAGGAAUUGGCGGGGAGCACCACAAGAGGUGGAGGCUGCGGUUCAAUUGGACUCAACGCCGGAAAACUCAUCGGGAGCGACAGCAGUAUGAUUGCCAGGUUGAUGACCUUGCUUGACAAGCUG